AAAAACAUGGCUCUUUGAUUACAUAUAUAUAAAGAGUCCGACCUGCCCAGUGAAUUUUUUUUUAACGGCCGCGGUACUCUGACCGUGCAAAGGUAGCAUAAUCAUUUGCCUUAUAAUUAAAGGCUAGUAUGAAUGGUUUAACGAGAACAACGCUGUCUCCUUUUUAUUUCCAAGAAUUUAACUUUUAGAUGAAGAGGCCUAAAUUUUAUUGAAGGACAAGAAGACCCUGUCGAGCUUAAAAGACAUUGUAGAAUUUUAUAUAUUUCUAGAUAAGCUUACUAUUAAGCUUUUUAGUUGGGGCGACUAAGGAACAAAAAAAGCUUCUUGUUAAUAAUAAACAAUCAUGUUUAGAUCCGGAAUAGCCGAUCAAAGGAAUUAGUUACCGCAGGGAUAACAGCAUAAUCUCUCCUGAGAGACCUAAUCGAAAGAGGGGGUUGUGACCUCGAUGUUGGACUAGAAUAUCCUAAAGAUGUAGAAGUCUUUUAAGGGUUGGUCUGUUCGACCAUUAAAAUUCUACGUGAUCUGA
RNAcentral lists this ribosomal RNA (526 nucleotides) under Semisulcospira libertina. RNAcentral describes it as "partial 16S ribosomal RNA". It matches the Rfam family "Bacterial large subunit ribosomal RNA", at positions 1809 to 2608 of the family's 2925-position model. Lineage: Eukaryota; Metazoa; Mollusca; Gastropoda; Semisulcospiridae. The record is from RNAcentral.